RNAcentral lists this long non-coding RNA (943 nucleotides) under Homo sapiens (human). RNAcentral describes it as "small nucleolar RNA host gene 17, transcript variant 63 (SNHG17)". Lineage: Eukaryota; Metazoa; Chordata; Mammalia; Primates; Hominidae. The record is from RNAcentral.
AGUCCUUCGCCGUCCCUCGCCGUCCUUCGCCAUCGCACGCCACCGCACCCCAUCUCUCGAAAUCUGCAGACAUCUUGAUUUUUCCCACGCUGUCUGUCAGGUCUCCGCCGCCACUCGACGCCAGGGCGCCGGGUGAGUCCACAGCAGGGCGCAUGGUCGGCUCCACUCUCACCAUCGGGGGAAACUGAGGCCCCGGGGAAGGCGGCCAGAGAGGUCAGGCCCUGUCCUUGGUGCAGUGUCUCGUCCUCUUUGCCGGAGUGAGCCCCCCAGGAUUCGCGUGUCCUCGGGAAAGACACUGGCAGGAGUGUCACAUGACUGCCGCCCCAUGUGUGUGAGAGGCGUCCUCUGGGAGAGCAUGGAUCCUGAGGUCCCAGGAUUGUCAGCUGACCUCUGUCCUGUGUGCCCAGUGGCCCCAGGUGACGUGUCUUCAAGAAGAGGCUGAGCUGCGGUGCUUGUAAGAUGGGUCUGCUGUGUGCAGAGGCUCCAUGGGAUGUGUUGUCUUCAUAGUAGCAGGGCGCUGGACCAUGGGUCCGCAAGGUCUCAGCCUUAGAUCCAAGGACAGUCCAAGGAAGUCCUAAGACCAUGGAGUUGGUGAUCUGGGAUCUGGGUUUGCUGAUAUUUCUCACCGUGAAUCUCUUGGUGGUGUUUGUGGGCACGAGAGGGGCAGAGAAUGGAGAGUGAGGCUACCACAUGAAGCGUCACCAGAGCUGCUCCCUGCUGCCUGCUCAGAGCACCCCGGAUCCACUGUUCAAUCUGCACAAGAUUCGGGGUCCAGACAUGGGAGACUUCAGCUGCCUCAGAGGACCGUGGACAGGGAAGGCCAGCCUCGCAUCCCUCUGUCCAUGCCUGGAAUGACUUUAAUAACCAAGAGUUUUAUUUUUGAAUUUGUAGCUGUCGUUCACUUUUUACCCACCCAUUCAAUAAACCUUACAGAAUUGCUCCA